GGUUGCGCUUUUCGGAGUCUUGUUGCCCACCGUUUUGUUAGGCGUCGUUUCCUCCUCGGGCAUUUCUACUGCAUCCGCUUUUCUCCAGUCUUUUCGUGGAGAUUUAGGCUUCAGCUCGUGGAAAAUAAUCACAGAACUGGAUUUCAGGGCCCCCGGGCACCUCGCACUGAGCUCUCCAGGAAUGAAAAAUUCCUCAGGCAGUCAGUUCGUCUAUUAGGGGCAAUCAGUGUUGCUGACUCCUUGGAUAUUCUUCUAAAGCAAAACGGGCAGAUCAGCUGAUGCACUCUUUCCUGUACUCGCCUGAUCGUGAGAACCACCUGGGGCGACAGUGAAAUGUAGAUUCUUCCCCAGCUCCAGCGGAUCAGCCUGUCCAAGGAGGGGGCUCUGAACGUCUGUGUUUAACUUAGGAGAGCCUCAUCAUCAGCAAAAUACCAUUGGUGGAAGUACAUCCCAAGGACCACUAAGUUCUUCAGAGAAGAAGCUGCCAAUCUCUUCCCUGAGGAAGAAGCAAAAGUCAAUGAAUCAGAGACAACUGGAGGUGCUUUCUAAGGAUGGAGUCCAAAGGGAAGUUGGAGUUUGUAGGAAAUAGAAUUUAAUUCUUUCCUUUGUCCCUGGUGUCACCUGCUUAAGCUCUUGGUGGCAGCCAGUAUUCUUAGUUAUCUGAAGGAGAAGAAAACCUGAAGAUGACUAGAAGAAUCCAAGUCACGUGAUCUAAAACAGAGUUGUGAUGAUAAAUACAAACACAGUCAAGAACUCCCCCAAGCCCUGGCGUUUCUAAAAACGGGUACAUCCAAGUGUCAGGUCUGACACUGGGUCUGUGGGUGACAGCCCUGACUGACCACCGUUAGGGUCAGCUCUGUCAGGCUACAUGGACACAGGUCUUGUUUCAGGGACGAGAUCUCCUUUGGGGACUCUGGGUGAACCGUUGGAGCUGUCUAACUGGCUGACCUGGGAAAUCCACACCAAGUGGCCAAGGCACCACAGGGAUUGUGUUUGGACUUUAAACCACCUGCAUGCAGUCUCUGCCUUGUUCUGGGAUGCAGGUAAAGAGCUCAUCUCCUUUGCAAAGCUGAGAAAAGAGUUUCCAGGGAAACACAAAAGCCAAGGUUUUCCUUCAGGAGAGAUUGAGCUGGUAGGCUAGGAUAGCACCUGGUCGUGGUGUUUACAUAAGGAGAAAGAUGACUAAGACUCAGAUGCCUUGACUCAAAGCUUCCUUGGGAUCUGAUGUGAUGAGAGUUUCCAAGAAGAUUUUGUAUAUUUCCUAUCCCAGACCUGGAAUUAGCUGGUUCUCCAAGGAGCUCUGACUAUUUUCAGAAGGAAACUGGAUUUCAACAGCAAAUUCUGUGUGCUGGAGGGCUGGGAGAAAUGACCACUGACUGAAUCCAUGGACUCAAUGGACAUUCUGUGAGCUGGACCUGGAAAAAUGAGGAAAUCAAGACACCAUGGAGCCCUUUGUGGGCGGAGCCAAUGAUGCCCAUGGGCCAUCCCUUGCCCUCCAGGUGAGAGCCCACUGCAGGUGACUGUAUUGUCCACUGAUAUUUCUGGAAGACAAACAAAUUGAUGAAGAUGGCAGGCAAGUAGGAUGGUUAAGGAGGAAUGCUAGGUAGAGAGAAGAGCAUCACUUCCAAAAGGUAUCGAGGGUCAAUUUGCAGUUGGACUACAAACUUUAAGUGGGCCGCAUUGUCUUUAUUAUGAAGCUUUCCAGGAGCACACAACUGAAUGGAGCUGAGACUUAGAAUGGUAGGGCGGGCAGGGAUAAGGGUCUGUAAUAGGAAACUCCCAGGAGGGAACGUGCCGUCACUUGUUUCAUUCUUCCCAUUUUCUUACCCAGUAUGGCCUUUCCGGAGACAUCAAAAUUCUGUUAUGAAAAGAAAUGACAACUUACUCUACAGACAACCCGAAGUAGGUUAGAACCCAGAAUAACUCUUUAGGAAGAAAAGUUAACCGUUAACUAUUAAUGGUAAUGGUAUUAAUAAUAAGAAAAGUUAUCCAGUCAGUGGUCUUAGCUAUUUAAGACUGUAGGUCACUCAUCAGGGUCCUAUGUUUCCUUGAGAUAAACAUUAAAUGAUAAGUCUAUCUAAUUUGGUUGGGGGCCAAGGACCCUAUAAUGCUGCCAUUUAUUGCUAAAUUGCCUUAAUUACUUUUUAAAAUCUGCCUUUUACCCCUUAGUGGAUAUAUUAACCAAUUAUGGACGCUGACACAAAGGUCAGGAGAGAGUCUGUGGAACACAGCAAAUUUUGAAAAUAUGAUGUUAACGUGAUGUUAUUCAAAAUCCUUCAAAUGCAUUAGGAAAAAACUUGCGUAAGAUCCUCUGGAGUCUUGGGUGCAAUGUGAUAUUUUGGAACAUAUUAAUGUGAUUUUCUUUUUUUCCUUUGCUGCUCCUUGUUCAUGAAUUUUUCCCAAUCCAUCCAUUACCUGGGAGAAUGUUAGGGUAUUUGCGAUGGAACAUUCAUGGAAAACAGUGUUCAGCAUUCAUUCUAAAACAGGCUCCGAAAGCUGCCUGAACGAGCAUAAUGUUUAAUCAUAAGCGUUUGGUGGAAUGCCUUAACUGGGAGAUAGAGAAGGAUGGAGGCAGGUAGGAUGGAGGCCUGUGAGAGACCUUCAAGACUUGGAGGAGAGGAGCAGAAUCAGUAUCCACCGUGUGCUCAGCCUCUGCUUUGUCAGCACCAUGCAGCACCGUGGAGCCCUUUGUGAGCAAAGCCGCCAAUGAUGCCCAUGGGCCAUCCCUUGCCCUCCAGGUGAGUGCCCACUGCAGGUGACUGUAUUGCCCACUGACUGUCCAACAGGAGAGUGCCCUGCUAUGUCCUAAGACUGUCAGCUUGUCUAAGUUACCCUGUGUCAGCAACUGACUCAUAGGCCAAGGGUACUCCUAAGUCUCUCAGACUAGAGGAUGCAGCCCAGGACACCCAAGAAGCAGUGGUGAUAUGGAAAAGUUUGGAUGGUAUCGUUCAGAUCCAUCGUAAGAACUGUACUUCCCCUCCACCUGCCCCAUUGCGCAUUCCCCGAAAGAGGCGGUGGUGAAGCCUUUGGCCGUGACAAAGGAAUCGUAAUACUGGCACUAAAGAGCAGACUCUUUUCUCUCUCUGAUAUCUGUUUUCCUACCACUCUACUGUGAAUUAACUCUCAAAAAAAUAGCUAGUGGAACUGAAGUAGAAAAGAGUGGCAGAAUCUCUCAUACCAGAGAGGAAAUAUAACUUGGUAGAAGCGGCAUUAUUUAAUAUUUAAGAGCACAGAUCUUGAAGCCAGAAUCAGCGACUUCCUACUCUUCUGACUGUGAGCAAACUACUCAUUUGAGCCUGUUUUCUCAUUUGUGAAAUGAAGAUAAUACCUUUCUCGUUUAGUAUGACACCUAAAUGGGAUAGUACAUACUCGCACCCACACACAUAGCCACGCAAUAAACCUGGUUACAUCAUUCUCAUCUCUUGGCACUACUUUCAUCCGAAUUUAUUGAACACGCAUUACCUUUGGCUGCUGUAAGUUGACUCCAGUGCAGACAAAGUUCUACAAGACCAGCAAGCAGGGUGAUGCCUUCGUGUUCCCGGAUCCCUAGCAUCCACAUACCCAACAGCAGCUUUCCCUCACAAGAGGAGUGCAGCAAGGGGACUGUGAUAAUCACCUACUGGUCUCAGAUCCAAGAGAUGUCUCUAUCAAAAUUACGUGCAAGGGGUCCUCAGGCCCAGAAUAUCUGUGUCACCUUGGUCUCAAGUUUCAGCUGGAAGAACUCCCUGUAUCAUUUCUUGUAAGGCCAGUCUGGUGGUGAUAAACUCCUUUAACUUUUGCUUGUUUGGAAAAUUCCUUAUCUCUCCUUCAGUUUUGAAGGACAACCUUGCCAGGUAGCAUAUUCUUGGUUGGUAUUUUUUUUCUUUCUUUCAACACUUUGAGUAUGUUAUGCCUCUCCCUUCUGGCCUGCAAAGUUUCUGCUGAAAAAUCUGCUGAUAGUCUUCUGGAGGUUCCCUUGUACAUAACAAGUGGUUUUCUCUUGCUGUUUUUAAGAUUCUUUCCUUGUCUUUAACUUUUGACAGUUUGGUUGUACUAUGUCUUGGUGUAGAUCUCUUUGGAUUCUUCUUAUUUGAAACCUCUGGGCUUUCUGGAUAUGGAUGUUUGUUUCUUUCUCCAGGUUUUAGGGAAAUUUUCUGCCAUUAUUUUUUUGAAUAAACUUUCUACCCCUUUCUCUCUGUUUUCUCCUUCUGAGACCCCUAUGAUGCAUAUAUUGGGCCACAGUUGUUGCUAUUCCAUAAGUCCGUUAAGCUAUCUUCACUCUUUUUCAUUCUUUCUUGCUUUUUGCUCCUCCGAUUGGAUGAAUUCCACUGCCCUGUCUUUGAAUUCACUGAUCUUUUCUUUUACUUGAUCUAGUCUGCUGUUGAAUCCCUCUAUUGAAUUUUUCAGUUCAGUCAUUAUCGUCUGCAGCUUUGAGAUUCUUGUUUGGUACUUUAUUAUGUUUUCUAUAUCUUUGUUGAAACUCUCACUUUGUUCCCUCAUUGUUCUCUUGACAUCAGUGAGCAUCUUUAUGACAAUUAUUUUGAACACUUUAUCAGGUAAGUCACUUAUCCCCCAUUUCAUUAAGAUCUGUUUCUGAAGUUUUAUCUUGUUCUUUUGUUUGGAAAUAUUCCCUUUUUUCUUCAUUUUCCUUGACUUUCUGUUUCCAUCUUGCUCAUUUCCCAGACAUGAGGAAUGUUUUCACCAAAUUCAAGCCUGAUGGAAUAAGAUUGUAUGGAAGAAGAAGAUGACAUAGGAACGAAAAAGCAGACUAUGAAGAAGAAAGCAUUGACAUCUCACUACAGUGGUACCAAGGAAAGGCGUUCCUUUCAGUAAAUAACAGACAAGAUUCCUCUUCCAAGACGCUGAUUUGGGAGACCACAGAGAGAAAACCUGGCAGAAGUGCCUUUUGUUGCUGUCUCCUACAAAGCAACAAGUUUGAGAAGUCUAACCCUGUGUUUCUACUUGGGAGCUCAGCACUUACUCUCACAGGCCUGGAGGUAUUUGGAGAGCAAGUCUUGUAGAGAAGACCAAGAAAACAAAAGGGACAGCUCUUCAGAUCCACCUUACUGGGAAUAUCACUCAGACACAACAUCCAGAAAGUCCAGGUUUAACAAAGGUCCAGAGUCUUCUAACUCACUUCUUAUAGAAGCUAUGAACUACACAGCAGCAGCAAUGACAACAAGCACAACAAAGCAGCCUCAGUUCUCUAGUUCUGCAGCAGGAUUCAGGGACCCCCAGGGGCUUAGUAGAGAUGCAAUCUCAGAAUGUAAGUACAGGUGCUUAGGCCAACCAGGAAGAUAGUUAUAAUUAGGUUAUUCUGAGGUUGGGGUGAAAACUACAUCUAAGGUUCUGUGAGGCCCAUGAGUGGUUAAAUGAUGAAUAAGGCAGUACUCAUCCUAGAGGAAAAUCUGGACCAGUGAAUGUAAGCUUGACUGGAAAUGCUAAAGAUAAAAACAGAAACCAGAAAAUUUUCCUGGUAAUAAUCAGGCUUCCUUGCCUUGCACAGUUCCAAUAAUACACAAAUUUCAGUGUAUUAUUCAGUGUACCCACAGUUUAAGUGAUACCAGUCCCCCAACAACACAGUUCAAAUUUUCAGUUACCUCAAUAAAUUGACUGUGAGUAAUUGCAUAAAGUAGGAACUUCACUGUUAGAUUUUCAAACCACAAAUCACUAUGUAAGUAACAGAUGCACAUGACAUUCAAUGACCAAUCGCAUCACUUCUUUCAAAGUCUAUUGGUGAUUGGCCACCACACAUCUAUUAUUCAGUUCACACACAGACAGCAAAGCAUGUAGUUGUGUUACCUCCUUGUCUUCCAGGGAUAAACUUACGUAAACAUUUGAAAAAAUGGACAACCUAAAAGGAAAUUGGCUAAGAGAUGAAGUGCAACAAGGAAACCAAAAUUGAUAAAGCUGCAAGUGAAGUUCUAAUUGAGCAUAAAUGGAGUCAGGGAAGAAAUGGCCAUCUGUGGGAAUGUUGACACCAUCACUGUUUUCCAGAGACGAUAGACAUGCAUCCAGAGGAACUCAGUGAAGCCAAACUUAGCGACACAAAUGAGGAAUAUGGCGGUGAUGAAAAGAAUGAAGAUAUCCCAGAAGAAGGCACACUGGCAAAAAACCCUCACAUUAAAGAAACUCUGGGAGGAAUUGUGCUGUAUUGAAGGCACAAUGAAUAAAUAGCUGAAAACUAAUUCAGAUUUAGAAAGGAGUACAACAAUUCAUGGAGGAAUAACAAAGAGGCUCACUCCAUACCGUAUGUCAUACAGGGAGAGGAAAAGGGCAGGCACUGCUCAAACUGAGCUCGGGGGAUCCCUACAAAGAAAAAGACAUUUUACUGUUCAGCGUUUCUACUGUUUUAAACUUCAAUGUACUAAAUAAAUAUUAGUUUUACCAUUUUUAAAUUCCCCCAUAUUUUUAUAACCUACUGUAAAAGAGUCUUUAAUGUGUUGACAAAAAACUUUUAAAGGUCCCAGAACCAUUGUAAUUUUCCCUUCUUUGAUUAAUAACAUUACCUUGCAUGGUUUUUAUCUGCAGAGUCAUCUUUCCACUCUCUCAUUACCAUGCAAAUCAAGGACUGCCUGUAAAGCUGAGCUAGGAUCAUAGCAGUGGGAAGGGAAAUGAAAUGGUAAAUAAGAAACAAAGCAAAACUCCAAGGACUGUGAUUGAGUGGUUGUGAAGAACACAGUUGGAGAAGAUGGUGGGUGUGGUCAGCAGGGAGCAGAAAUAAACAGAAAAUGAUUAGAAGAAGAAAGCUGAAAAGAUAACUUUUGUGUGGAGACAGACUCCAGGAGAGGUUUAGUUUAGAAAAAGAGGGUUAUGAGCUUUAGAAACAUUAUGAUUAUUUAAGAAAGACUCAGAUAUGUGAAAUAUUGGAUGCGACAGUGCACCAAAAUUUGGCACUUUGUGACACAGUUGGGAGAACAGGCACAUAAACUGUUGGUGGUACGAGUAAAAGGAGUACUUCUCAUUCUCAUGCCAUUUCAUAUACCACUUGCCAUUUAUUUAGUAGGACAAAUUUACUUUUUAAAGUCUACCUUUAAAAAGGGGAGAAUAUCUCCUGCGUUUUCUAAAUCUGGCUGGUUUUUUUUUUAAUUAGACAUGAUUUAUUUUUUUUAAGACAUCUUGUUCUCAUUGAGGGUUUGCCUCUUUGAUGAGAAAUGUCACUUUUCUGCAUCAAAAAGAGAAGUUAUUUCAGAAUUAAGGCCGACAAAGGUGGUUAGAAGAAGAAUGCAUGUAAGUGUCCUAGGGGUCAGAAAAAAAGAAGACCUUGUUCUAGAAAAGGAGUUCUGAGCAAGAGGAUCCAGCCAGCUGAGAUAGAAGCCUGUGCCCAGCAAGAGGGAACUGGAACUGACGAUUCCUUUCCUUCCCCAGAGCUUCAGCUAGGAAGACGAUUGUUCUGUAGUAUGAAGAACAGUCAUCAUUCACCACAGUUGGUUGACAUGAUUUAUUAAGUUGAAUCAAGCACAGAAAAGAAAAGUUCUUUGUGAUAGGCCAGAUUCCAUGAGUGGGAAUUCCUUGGAGUCACAUAGGGAGAGAAUACGCCCCAGUGUUGAAGGCUUUCCAGAGACUGCUUCUGUUCCACUUUCCACCCCUCCCUAAAUCACUUCCCAAAGAAAUAUUUUGCUGGACACUGAAGUGGCCACAGCUGUGGUCAUAAGAAAACAUCAGGAUGUGAAAUGAAUCAUCCUCUCUUUUAGUUAAUGUUUUUUUGAGUAUGCAGGCGGGGUAAAGGACAGGUGCUAUUAAGAUAAUAAACAUCAUUAAAGUGAUUGGAAGUGCUGCCAGUUUCCAUGAACAAAAGCUUUCCAAGGAGCUGUAAUUAUUUGUAAGGUCAGUGAACUAAAAUUUUCCCCGUAUCAGUAUUAAGCAAAAAGGUCAUUAAUGUUUUAGGGGACUGUAAUGAGUCUGAAAGAGGUUGACUUGAUCCUCCCCUUUUGUAGUUCUCUAUCAGAUCACCCUAUGAUCCUCCUCAACUUCCAGACUCCUGGACGGCUGAAGUAGAACCAGCGACUGACUCUCUGACCAGCUGUUCAGGGCCUGAAGUUACCCUCCACCCAACUGGCAAGGUUUUCUACAACAUAUAUAGACUUAUCCUCAGAUGAGGAUUACCCACCACACCCCACGCCCCCCAAAAAGCCUGAGAUCAUUCCUCUAUGCUAGCUGUGAAAAAAGAGAGGUAACUAUAGUCUUUUAACCUAUCAGUGUUGGAAAAAAUCUAUGGGUGUCCCAAAGCAUCUAGGAUUGAGGGUAUGGAGAGAAGGUUCUUCAAUCACAAGAGAACCCCAGUUUCGCCCAUGAAGAAAAGAGAGAGGACAGGUCCAUAAGGUGUUACAGGUCUUUGGACCUUCGUGUUGUCUCCAAAGUUGGGGUUUUCUUCUAAUUCUGAAGGGCCAGCUUUGGGGACCCUUUGCCAUAGUUGUCAUCUCUCAGGAACCUGAUAAUAAACUACAAUGUUUUAAACUUGGACUAUAU
This is a long non-coding RNA of Equus quagga, 8448 nucleotides long. RefSeq lists it as uncharacterized. The transcript is spliced from 11 exons. The record is from RefSeq and is a predicted model, not a curated record. Lineage: Eukaryota; Metazoa; Chordata; Mammalia; Perissodactyla; Equidae.